Oryctolagus cuniculus (rabbit) is the source of this 11817-nucleotide non-coding RNA. Lineage: Eukaryota; Metazoa; Chordata; Mammalia; Lagomorpha; Leporidae. The record is from RefSeq and is a predicted model, not a curated record.
CUUAAGGGCAUUUGUGUCCUGGUGGAUACAAAGCUCGGACACACAUGUGCAGUCAGCAUGAAACGUUUUAGCCAGGACUAAUUAAGCAUUUCUAAUUAAAAUUGUGUAGAUAGAGAGGAAGUUAACGGCUUUGUAUGAACUAUUUGUUUUAUUGUCGUGUGUACUGUAUACUGUAUGUCAUUGCAAAUAGAUCUUCAGAAGUAUUGGGUACCCGGUUGGAUCCCUGUUGGAUCAAUUCAUUCAGAGCUUUCACUGGUCAAGCUUUAAAGGAAAACAGAAGCAAUAAAUGGAAGACCCUGACCUGGAUGAUCCCCAGAUACAGCAUGGAUUGCACACAAUAAAGGUGCAGCUCCAGUUAAGCUUUCUAAAUAAACGUAGUGAGGUCUGGAAACACUGGUAACGCCGCCCCCACACAGUGCACCCAGACAUCCGAGUGGAGCAGGCCGUGCUGCUCCAUAUGGCUUUCCCUGGUGGACCCUGAGUGUCCUUAUGUUACCUGCACUUGUUUCUUGGAGGAAAAAGUUUGUACUCCAAAAAUGAGUAAACAAAGCGCUUUCAUGAAUGCUGCCAAAAUGGCAGUGUCUGAAAGCUUGCUGGGGCUACAGCCACACCCGAGCUUGCUUCACGCUCACAGGCAGAUGCCCCUCUGUGCAUCCCGCUCACGCCUUGCCGUGUCCAGCUCCCCUGCUGCAGCUGGCACACGAGCGGUUUCUUCCACACUGGGGCGAUGCGGAGGUCUGUGAGAUCCAGCACCCAGGCGUUGAUGGCGAUGGCUCCCCAGGGGGAGUGAGGAUUGCCGUGGUCCUGGAGGGACUCCUUCCCCUCGGGCCCGCCUCAUUGUGCACGGCACCGGCCUCAGCAGUUUUCUGAUUCCUCACUGUGCACUUUCUUGGCACAUCUUUUAUCAUCCACAGUCUUCUCGGUCUGAAACAGCUGUAGGGAGCUCAGCCACACCGCCGAGCCCAGUGCAGAGCCGCUGCUUCCAGAAGAGCCUGCCCCGCUGCAGCGGCCUGUGUGUGCCCUCCCUAAAGUCACUGCGCAGUGGUUCUGGUAAAAGUUUCCGGCAGCUUAGCAAGAAAACGGAUCCAAAGAUUGACUUAGUGCCACGUGCUUACCCACUGCCUCUUUCACUCUGAGGAAGGUGAUACUGUCCUCACUGACCCCCAUGCCAGGUGUGGGCACAUGGAGUUGGGAGGGCUUGAGUGGCUGGACUCCAGGUGCAUAAAUACUAGGAGAAGGAGGCAGGAAUCUGGCUCUGCUCAAUCUGACUUACACUCCGACCCUCUUUUGAGUAUAUUGUAUGGUCAGAAUUAAAGGUGCAUCUGUAUGUGUGUGAGAGAGAGACGGGCAGACAGAGGCAGAAUGAUGAGAGAGACAGAGAAUUUCUCCAGCUUCUGUUGGUUGGAAAGGUUUUCUGGACAUUUUGUAACUACAUCUGCCUGUCUUGAUAGUUUGUGGAAUUUAACAUGAAGUGUAUUCUCUCUGGAAUGUGUGAGUCAUCAGUCUUCACAGGUGUCUGUUUAUGGGGUGGAUUGGUUGUGGUAGUCAUGCGGGGUUCACAUGGUGUCCUAGCCAGGGAGGAAUGGGCUUCCCGGGAUCCUGACCCCUGCAAGGCCCCAGGCCAGCAUCAGGCCCCGGGGCAUCCGCAGCAGGUGUCGGGGUGGAAGCCAAAGCAGCAGCCAUGGCUGGUGCAGGCGUCAGGACUCCUUCCUGGUCUUCCAUCCUAAUGCUGUGGGGUGGGUCAGAAGCUGGCUGUCAGUUCCUUGACUUCCUGGCAGGGACCUCCUUUGACUUCUCUGAACCCUGGGUGUGUGUGCUCAGCUAUGAGCUGAAGGACACCAGUACCUCCUGCAGGGCACCCCCACUUCGCCAGAGCUGGAGGCUUGCGGGUAUUGAGAGACGAUGGGCUCCAUCCAUCCUCAGCGCCCCUGGUCUGAGCCAUCUGCCUGUGCCCCUCCCCUCUCCAGGCUUCAGCACCAGGGACAGAGGCUUGUCUUCCACAGACAGCUCUCCAGCCCCACCCCACUCCCUGCCAAGGCAGACGGCCACGUCUAGACAGUGACUCUCCCACGGUGGGAGGAGACAAAGAGACAGAGACACAGGCAACAAGAGACGGAGAGAGAGAAUCUGAGAGACAGAAAAUGAGACGGGGAGAAACAGACAGUGACAGAGAUGAAGAGAAACAGAUUGAGACAGAGACAGGGACAGGCAGACGUCCCUGUGACGCACUUCUCAGAGUGCCCCUGGGGUGGUGUGGACUCAGUGCCUGUCCUCUGCAUGCCCUGCCCUCCCUCACCCCGCCGCCUGGGGCAGGGGUGGGCUUUGCGCCAUCCGUGUCUCGUCCACGCGGGUAGCUGAGUGUUUUCCUUGAUUACCCCUGCUGGCUUACUCCACUCUUGGUGCUGAGUCUCUUACGUCUUUUCUGUUCUCCCUGACUUCUCGAGCGUGAUUUGAUUUGAUUUGCCUCCAUUUUCCUGACGUUCACAUUCACUGCAUUUGCCCUGCUGUGUCUUACAGAGUGACUGCCCCCUGCAUUGUUUCUUUCAAAGUAACUUUUGCUCUCAAAGUGUUAUUGUUUAUCUCUUUCAUUUCUUCACUAAGCACUCUCAGCUUUUUUUUCUACAUCUUUGUUUUUUCCUAUCUUAUUUGGACUACUUGGAAAAUUAGAAUUCUAAUUUUUGAUAGCUUUUAGAUCUUUCACAUGUCGUUUUGUAAUAUCUUGCAUUACAGUGCUCUUUGCCGGAUGCUUUUAUGGUGUGAUGGCUGCCCUCCCUGCUGUCUCCAGGCCUCCUGUUUCUUGUGCAGAAGCAGCUCGCCUGGCGUCUAGAGCGUGUGGUGUCGUGGUGCAGGGAGAGGCGGGACGGUGCAGUGCGGCAUCCAGCAUUGUGGACUUGCUCCGCAGUCUCAGAUCAGAGCCCCACAAUCUGCUCCCUGAUGUGUAGAUGCUGUGGCCUUCUCUCGAGUGAGACCUGCUUUGUCAAAGGCCCUUCUCGGUGGUACCCACACACUCUUAGCCAUCACCUCACCACAUGGCCUUCCUAGUCCUGCCAUGGGGCUCUGGCUUUGGGGAGGGUUGAGCUCAGGCAGGGACUGGCAGUUCCCGCACAGUGUCUCCUCCUCUCUGCAGGAUGCGUCCCCAUUGGAUGCCUGAAACUACAGGCAGUGCCAAGCUCUGUGCGUCCUCUGCUGCUCCCGAUAGACCCAUGCCCAUGGUGUCGUAAUCUGUUACUCAGGCAUAGGAAGACGACUGCAAUGACUUACAGUAAAACAGGCCCAUGUGACAAUGUGCUGUAGUGAGAAUCUGCUCCUCGGGCUGUCACGGAGUUAACCAAGGGUUGUUUGAACACGAGCACUGUGAUAGCCAAGGACUGCUGACUGACUGCUGGGCAGGUGAUGUCCACAGAGGGGUGGGUGCUCCCCACGGAGGGAAGUCACACACAGCAGGCAGCCAGAGUGGUGCGGCACAAGGUUUCAUGACGCUGCUCACGAGGCAUUUGGUUUAGCGUUAGGAACUUCUUAGAUUUUUGGAGUGUUCCAUCGGAUAUGUCCAGGCUAUGGUUGGCUGCAGGUAACCAAACCAAGGAAAGUGGAGCCGUCAGCAAGGGGGUGUACAGCACCUUUAUGUUCUAAGAAAGAGCUUUCUCUUCCUGUGCAGGAGGUGAAAGACACGGCUGGGACAACUCCGAGUCAUUGCUCUGAGAAUUUACACACGUAGUCGUGUCUUCACUUGUGUGGUUUCACAUCUGAAUGAUUUUAGCCUUUUCCUCACAGUGAUUCAACAUGAUUUCGAUUUUCUAGUUUAUGAAAAUCUCAUCUAUGUUUCAUGGUUUUCUUUUUUUAAUUUUUCUUUAUUGCUGUCAUCUGGUUUGAAAGAGAAUAGCAGGAGACUGUCUUCACUUAGAAUUUUGCCUAGGCUUGACAUUAUAUUUAGCCAUGAAGCAUAAAUAAAUCAUAUGGCCAUCAGUCUCUGCUCCAUUAGACCCAUUUAGGACCCAGAGUGGAAAAAGAGGAACUUCAAACUAUCAAGACAUGAGGCUCUUAACACACAGCCUGCAGUGCACCUGCCGGGAAGCUGCCUGUCAGAGACGGCCUCCCUUGUCUUCCUAAGUGUUGAGCAGAAUCCUGUCUUCAUCCAACCCAACCCCCUGUCCAUCACAGCGUGGUUGCUGGGCGUUGUAGUCAACACACAGCUCUUUUGCUGUCUUUGUCCCCUGGAGGAGCCACAGACCCACAUUUUGUCCAGUUGGGAAAUGGGGCCCGACCUGCUCACCAGCGUCUUUGGAGAGGACCGAUGCUGUGCCCAGUGUGGAUCUCUUGGUUCUGUGCUGUCUGCUCCUCCUUUUCCUCUCCAGCUUUCUGACCGAGGCUCCUGGCAGGUCCUGCUUCCACACCUAAGCUACCCUAUCCCGAUGGCAACAGGAAACACCACUGUCACGGCUGUCGUCUCAGUUAGAUGAUGGAAACCAGGAUGAGAGAGAAGUCCUGUACCGCAGCAGCAUCGCUCCUGAGGAGACAGAACGUGGAUGAGCUACCCUGAUUUGUCACUCUGUGCAAGGCAGGAGCGGAGCUGUCUCAUUUGUCAGGGGACACUAAGGUGUCUCCUCAGCGAGUCCUUGCAGUGCCACUGGCCAAUCCAGCCACUUGGAAUCCCAUCGUUACAAUUGCUUGUUUCCUUCCCGGAUGUAGGAGAAAUGAUAGAAUUAGGCAGUGAAUCGGGCUUACUAACAAAAGCCUUCAGAUUGUGUAAAAGUGUUGGUAUAUAUUCACACACGUUAGCUCAUUUAAUCCACUUCAAAGGAGAUUGGAGCGGACGUUGGUUCCUUGCAGGGUCUGUGUUGUCAGAGCUUAGCAGAGAUUCUCAUCAGUUCAGUUAUUGUGUGAGCACUUCAGUGAGAAAGAGUGCGUGGCUGCAUGCAUGCUGCAUACCCAGGUUCACCUGGGUCAUUGCUGUCUGCAGUUCAAGUCCUGGUUCUGUCGUGUGUUACAUGACAUUUUGGGUAAUUCAUCUAACUUCUCAUCUCAGGUGUCUUUCAUAGCUGGAAAAAGUAAUGCCUUACUCAGGAUUUGAAUCAAGGGUUAGGAGGAAGUUUUGUUCAGAUAGGUGCCAUGUAAUAUUAUGAACAUGUAAAUAGAAGGCAAACACCUGAACUCAGAAGGGGCUUUGAAAGGAGAUGCCUUCUGGGCCGGACCCCGGUGGCAGGGCGUGACUGGAGUAGGAAAGGGAGCUCCAGGCAAAAGCAGCAGAGUGCUGAGAACGGUGCAGGGAGGGCUGCAGGGAAAAUCCACGGGAGGGAGGCUGAGUGUGCAGGGAAACUGAGGCUCUGAAUCUUUCUCAGUUUCCUGCUGCUGUUUCAGACAGAUGUUGCACAAUUUUGCAGAAACGCUAUUUCCUCUUCAGUUCAUUAGUUUUAUAGAACCUCUUGCAAAUUCCCAACCUGUUGGGCAGGAUUCUUUAUGUUUUAUUGUUGUACAGUUGGUACUUAUGUUUGGAUACUUGAAUGUAUAGAAGAAAUAUGUUAACUAAGUAAGCUACAGGCAGUGUAUUCAGAUGGCUCCCAACACAGAAUGAUCUGACUUUUACUUUUUAAACUUUGCAGUGGUGUGAAAGGGGUAUGUUGUCAGUAGAAACUGUGUUAACACUUGGACUAGCUUUGGAGGCCAGGUUCUCAUUCACAGUGCCAAGCAGUAGUCAUGAGCCACGCUGCAGUCACCAGGCAGGAAGGACAGGGUCGCCAAGCUAGGAUGUCACUGUGGAGCUGUAUUGAUUUUCGACUUGCAGUAUUUUGGCUUACAAAAUUAUCUUUGGCUUAGAAAAAUUUCCACCUACCAUAGGUUUAUUUGGGGCACAACUACAUCAUAAGUUGAGGGAGAUCUGUGGUUGGAUCUUGAUUCAAGAAAUAUUGGGACAGUCGCUGUCUUUUUAAUUGAAGUAUUUUGACCAUUUACAUUUACUGGGAAUAUUGGUUUGGAUUGGUUUCAGUAUCUUGACAUUUAUUUUCUGUUUGUGAUGUAUGAUUAAUCCACUCUCCCUCUUUUAUUGCCUUCACAAUCAAUUAUAGUUUUUAUGAUUCUGUUUUAUUUCUUUUGGUAUGUUAAUGAUGCAUUUUCAGUUGCUUUGGAGUUUGUAAGAUACAGCAUUAAUAUGUCUAUACAGAAUAUUGUGCCACUUCAAGCUUAUUUUUCAAGAGUACAAUGGUACAUUUCCUUUCCCAUCAUUUGUAUUCUUGUUUUCAUAUUUUACUUCUGUGAGUACACGUUAGAAACUAUAAUAUACAUUGAUAGUAUUCUUCCUUGAAAAAAAGAGUCAUAUUUUAAGAGAAUUUUCAAAGAGGGGAAAUAUGUCUGCAUUACAGUAAAAAUUUCCUUUUUGCAUUUUUUCAUGCCUCUGUGAGAUCCAGAAUUCUGUAUGACAUCACAUCUCUGCCUGUAGGAUUUUCUGUAGACUUUACUUAGGUGUAGGACUGCUCAUGAUGACUGCUCCUGCAGGGUGCUUACAGAAGCUACGUUUGGUUUUCAUUAUUGACACAUAUUUCUGCUCUGCACAGCAUUCUUGGACAACACACUGUUUCUCUGUACCUUGCAAAUGUGGUUGCCCUGUCUCCUGGUUUUGUUUCUUACAGGGCCCUACAACCACUUGCAUCUCUUUUCCUUAUAGGAGAUAUAUCUUUUUCUUUUUUUCAUCAGAGUGCUAGGAUCAUCACUUAAUCACUGACUCCCAGAAAUUUGAUUGAUGUAGCAGUCUUAUGUAUUUGAGCUUGAGUUUUUUUUUUUAAUUUUUGUGGUUUAUUUGUACUUAACAUCAUUAAAGAGAAGCACGUCCAUGACAUUCUGUUUAUUCAGUAUCAUUUUGCAUUCUUCUUUGUUUCAUUAUAAAAUGUGUGUGUGUAUGUGUGUACAUGUAUGUGUGUGUGUGUGUGUGUACACAUCAGUGUUGAUGCUUUUGCCAAAGGUUCAAGCUCUUACUUGAACCCCUGCUGUUUGUGACCCCAUUCCCAGCACUCAGGGAGUCCACCAGGUUCUGCUGUGGUUCCCACAUCAUCUACUCACUGGAAAGAAUCUCUGCAGUGAGGCUCUGUGACAGCAGUGCUUACUGCACUGGAAACACAGACACCUGGGACUGUAGGAGUCAGUGCACUGGAAGCACUGUGUACAGUGAGUGCUGUGACUGUAGGACUCAGGACCCUGGGAGCACUGUGUACAGUGAGUGCUGUGACUGCGGACUCUGUACUAGGAGUACUGUGUACAGUGAGUGCUGUGACUGUGGACUCAGUGUACUGGGAAUACUGUGUACAGGGAGUGCUGUGACUGUGGGACUCAGUGCACUGGGUGCGCUGUCCUCAGUGAGUGCUGGGACUGUAGGACUCAGUGCACUGGGGUACUGUGUACAGUGACUGCUGUGGCCGUACUAAUCACUACACUGGGAACACUAUGCAUAGUGAGUGCUGUGACGUGAACUCAGUGCACUGGGGGUUCUGUGUACAGGGAGUGCUGUGAUGGUAGGACUCAGUGCAUUGGGAGUACUGUGCACAGUGAGUGCUGUGACUGUGGGACUCAGUGCCCUGGGAGCACUGUGCACAGUGAGUGCUGUGACUAUGGGACUCAGUGUCCUGGGAGUACUGUGUACAGUGAAUACUAUGACUGUGGGACUCAGUGCACUGGGAGUACUGUGUACAGUGAGUGCUGUGACUGUAGGACUCAGUGCACUGGGAGUACUGUGUACAGUGAGUGCUGUGACUAUGGGACUCAGUGCCCUGGGAAUACUGUGCACAGUGAGUGCUGUGACUGUGGACUCAGUGCACUCGGAGAAUGGCGCACAGUGAGUGCUGUGACUGUGGGACUAAGUGCACUGGGAGCACUGUGUACAGUGAGUGCUGUGACUAUGGGACUCAGUGCCCUGGGAGCACUGUGCACAGUGAGUGCUGUGACUAUGGGACUCAGUGCCCUGGGAGUACUGUGCACAGUGAGUGCUGUGACUGUGAGACUCAGUGUCCUGGGAGUACUGUGUACAGUGAGUACUAUGUGGGACUCAGUGCCCUGGGAGCACUGUGCACAGUGAGUGCUGUGACUGUGAGACUCAGUGUUCUGGGAGUACUGUGUACAGUGAGUGCUGUGACUGGGACUCAGUGCACUGGGAGUACUGUGCACAGUGAGUGCUGUGACUGUGGACUCAGUGCCCUGGGAGUACUGUCCUCAGUGCUGUGACCUUAAUACUUGCUACCGUGGGAACAUACAGUGAACUGCUUUGCCUGUGGUCUCAAGUUUGCACAGACCAUUUAUUAAGAUAGACAGUAUCCUCCCUGAGGGACAAGAAUCAAUGUGUUUUAUUUUAUCCUGUCACACACAGCGGUCUUAAAACAGUAUUGAGUUAAAAGAUAAGCCAAUACCUUCAAAUAUCUGUAAACUGAGGAACUAAUUUCCAUAAAUAGGAAUCAAGCAAACCCAAAGGAAGUUAGAAUUUGUGAUUUGAAUGAAAAGGAAAAAGCUGCCUUUCAAAAUUAGUGGAAUACAAAUAAAGCAGUGUUCUAAACUCCUAUGUUAAGUAGUAAAGUCAGUUUCACACGGAUGACCCCACUGUCCACCUCACACAGCUGCAGUAGGCAGAGCAAAGUAUAGCCUCAGCAGCAGAUGAAGGUGACAGUGUGGUCAGAGCUUAGAGAAGAAAACGGAGUAAGAUCACCAAGACGAACGCUUGGGCCUCGCCAGUGCUGAUUCUGUUUAAUGAGGGAAUAUCAUUUAAUAGCAUCAGAAACAUGGAAUGAUGAAUGAUUUGACAGCAUGGACGGAUCUGGACAGUGAGCGCUCAAGCCACUGUUAGAGAACACAGAUGAGGUCUGCACGGAUGUGCAUGAUCGGAGGAACGCACAUGGCCAGAAUUUCCGGUCUCCUAGAUCUGCCUUGGCGUUGAUGAAACUCUUCUGAAUCCCCAACUGGAUUUUUAAAAGUAUUUAUUUAUUCAUUUUUAAGUUUCACAGUUUCAACAUUUUGCUAUAUUUGCACCAUAGGUAAAUGCUAUAUACCUGUAUGUUCUCAUACUGUAUGUUCUCAAAGUUGAGCUGUUAAUAUCACAUAACGUGGAAUUCAUGAUGAGGGUCCUAAGGUGAGGACAGAAAGUUAGUUUAUUGUGUAGAGGGUGUAAUUCAGAGAAGUCAACAUUAUGACUACCUGUAUACCACUUAGUAGGACAUCUGCCCACUUUUAUAUUCUGUGUAUUAACUUCCACGUACGAGAAAAUAACGUGGACUUUGUCUUGCUGUAUCUGGAUUAUUUCACUUAGCAUAAUGAUACGCAGUUUCAUUUGUUUGGUUGUAGAUGUCAGGAUGCCGUUUUUAUGACUAAUACAUUUGUAUAUAUACAGGAAAUGUAUAAAUAUGCAUAUAUAUACACAUCUAUAUAGCUCAGUCAUAACAAUGAAAAUGACUAUAAUCACGUUUUCCUUUAUCUAGCCAUCAGUUUAUGGACAUCUAGGUGAUUGCAUGUUUCGGCUGUUGUGAACUGGGCUCCAAGAAACAUGGCAGUGCAGCUGUCUCUCAUAGGCUGACUUCACGUCCUUUGGAUGUUGUCCCAGAAGUGGGUUAGCUGGGUCCCAUCAUAAAUCUGUUUAUAGCCUUUUAAAGGAAUCUCCUAGAUUGGUUGUAAAAAUUAUAAAAGUAUUCUAAACUUUACAUGGAAUUGGAAAGGCUGACAAAACUUGAGAAACAAAACAGAGUUGAAAACCUUAGAGGAGUGGAUUUUAAGGCUCAUUAAAAUGACAGAGAGCUGGGCAGUGGUGCAGUAAAAUGAUGAGCAGGUAAAGAAACAGAAUGGGUUCAGGAAGCCACAGAGCCGUGCCCAUGGGCUGCUUGAUUCUGAUCACCACACUAAGGGACGUCAGUGGGGCAGUGAUCAUCGUCUCAGCUAAGUGCUGAACAACCGGGUAGCUGUUUGCCACCAGGCACUCAGCCAUGCCCAGAACUCAGUCCACGUCGUGUGCAGAGUAAAACCACACCACCCAGAACAGGACGGAGGCGUCAGCUCUGUGUGUGCCAGCUCACAGAGCGUGAGUAGAAGAAAUGUCAGAGAAAUUUCGUAUUGAUUGGGUUUGGCAAAGACCUCUUAAACAUGAUACCAGCAGAACAAAGUGAAGACAGUAAUGUGUUUGACUUCAUUAUGUUUUUCUUUUUAAGAUUAAGUUAAUUUAUUUGAAAGAGUAGGCCGGCAUCACGGCUCACUUGGCUAAUCCUCUGCCUGUGGUGCCAGCACCCCAGGUUCUAGUCACAUUUGGGGUGCUGGAUUCUGUCCCGGUUGCUCCUCUUCCAGUAAAGCUCUCUGCUGUGGCCGCAUGGGAGACCAGGAGGAAGCACCUGGCUCCUGGCUUCAGAUCGGCGCAGUGCGCUGGCUGCGGCACGCUGGCUGUAGCGGCCAUUUGGGGGUGAACCAAUGGAAAAGGAAGACCUUUCUCUCUGUCUCUCUCUGUCUCUCUCUCUCUCUCUCUCUCUCACUGUCUAAAUCUGCCUGUCCAAAAAGAAAAAGAAAAAAAAAGACUUGCAGAGAGAGCUUGAGACAGAGAGAGAGGUCUUUCAUCUGCUGUUUCACUCCCCAGAUGGCUGCAGUGACUGGAGCUGUGCGGAUCCAAAGCCAGGAGCUUCCUCUGGGUCUCCCACGUGGGUGCAGGGUCCAAGGACUUGGGCAUCUUCCACUGCCUUCCCAGGCCAUAGCAGAGAGCUGGAUCAGAAGAGGAGCAGCUGGGACUAGAACCAGCGUCCAUAUGGGAUGCCUUCCUAGGCCAUAGCAGAGAGCUGGAUCAGAAGAGGAGCAGCUGGGACUAGAACCAGCGUCCAUAUGGGAUGCCAGUGCAGCUCUUCAGGCCAGGGGCUUAACCCGCUGCGCCACAGCACAGGCCCCUUCAUUAUGUUGUUAAAACCUUUUUGGUAAACAUACUGCUAGAAAAAUGAAAAGACAAGCUGUGGUCUGCUAGCAAACAGACUCGUAAGUGUAGCACAUCAAGGACUUCUAUCAGCAGAGAAUAGAAAGAGAAACAGUAGAAACUACACUAAGAAGAGAUGCAGAUGACAAACAGUACAUUAAACCUUUCCCAGCGUCACUUGUCAUGAGGCAGAUACAGCUGAAACCGCGGAAACCUGCGUUUUGCCACCUAAGCAGACCACAGCAAGUGCUGACGAAGACGGGGAAGAAUUGGGAGUCUCGGACAGUGCUGUUGGGCAUUUAAACGGGUCUCACUGUUUGGAAAGUGACUUGACAGGGACUCAGACCUUGAAUGAUAUUUAUGCCAAAUGACACAGACAUUCUGCUACUUCUUGCCCCGCAGAAUGAAGCACAUGUCCAUACAGAGACCUGCAGAUGCAUGUCACAGCAGCCUCACAGGAGCCCCUCUGUCCAUCCACGGAGCCUGGAUUUGAGCCCUGGCGACUGCAGCUGCUGACAGGAGGCCUUCCAUCCAGUCCCCCCUUCCCUCCGAGGACUCACCUGAGCGCCGUGAGCAGGACGGUCCUAUGAAGUGUUAUGGAGGAAGGCGUGUGAUGCUCACUCACGGAUGAAGAACUGAAGUGCAGAACAAAUACGGAUCUUGCUUAAGGUGACUGAGUAAGGGUUUGCUGUUCCAGUGGCCGUUCUACCAUACAAAACGUCGUCUGAAUACACUACACGACACACGACGGAGAGUCGGGACUCCGGCGAUAGCGUUCCAGGAAACCUCCACUUCAGAAGCCGAAAAGCUCUGGACAGAAGUUCCCCGAGGGGCCAGCUGAGGUUCUGCCUCCAGAGAAAGACAUGGCCGUCUUCAGCACACAAAGGCACAGAGACAGAAACCCAGCCCCGAGC